CCUGAGCAUUUUUCAUUCCCUCAUUUUGACCACAAUUUAUUUUUCUAAUCUUUUUUUUUGAGACUUUCAACCUAUGGUGUCUACUUCUACUAAUAGCUAACUGGAACCUAAACUUUGCACUACCUUCUGCUUUGAAUUUAAUUAUUGUAAGUUUUUUCAGCUAAGCAUAUGCCUCAGCUCAGGAGGCACCAAAGAGGAAAGAGAAAAGCAUCUUCAGCAACUUCUUUAUCUUGCUAAUAGAAAGCUUGACUUCUAAAAUGCUCUAUCAUUGCUCUCCUUUCAAAUGGGGUACUAGGCAUCACCUGAUAUAAGAUAUAAUACUGAAUAAGGAAAAACCAAGAAUUAAAGGUAAUUAGCAGUUAAACAUGCAUGGUUAUUCAUGUUCAACAUCUUAUUUUAUUAGUUUAAAAGAAGCAAUCUUUAUUGAAAUCUAUUAGGAAGUGUCAUAAUCAAUGGAAUCAAUUAGGAACACUACAACAAACUUUAGUUAUUUCAUCCUUCUUUUAUCAAGGGUUUACUAAAAUUUGUCGAUACAGUCUAUAAGUAGUUUGCUAAAAUUUGUAGAUACAGUCUAUAAGUACGAAUGCGGCAGGCUAUCCGCUAUAUUACUAAACUUUAUUUCAAAGGUUAUUAGGUCCCUCAAAAUAAGUUAAAACACCCUUGAAAUAAAUGUGAAAAAAAAAGAGCCGGCAGUUUUGUACCAAAAUGUUUACAUUUUUCAGCCCACAACCCUUGAUAAAAUAUGACAAAUUUUUUAGCCCUGGAAAAAAGCCCACAACAAAAUUUAAAAAGAUAGCACAGAACAUAACCAACAAACACAAUAUCACUCUCUUUUUUUGUUUUUUGGUUUACCCACACUUUUUCAUCGAUUUUCCCAUGAUUUUCGUUUCACAUUUCUCAGAAAACUGAGCUCAUCAUCGAUUUCCCUAUUUCGAUUUCUAGUUGUUUGACUUUUGCGAUUUCAUUAUUCGAGUUCAAAUCAUAUUCUCUGUUUCCUUUACAGUUUUCAUACAAAUAUUGAUUGAGUUUUUUUUUUUUUUUUUAGCACAGGCACAACGAGAUUCCAAGGCUCAAUCCAAGGGAUUGCUAGUAUUAGUUGUGUGGGAAAUGUGCUUUUAGACACUCUGAAGGCCUUGAUUUAUUUCCUAAUAUAAUUUGCACAUUCAAUAACUAGGAAUUUAGUUAAUAUUAGUUAUACAUUUUUUCAAUCAAUGUUUGCUAUAUUGUAUGUGUUUGAACUUGGGUAUUAGUUAUGGAUUUUUUCAAUCAAUUUUGCCAUAUUGUAUGUAUGUAUCAUGUUGAACUGCUUUGGCUUUCUUCUGUAGUGAAACCAAUUGCUUUGGCUUGAUUGAUUUUGACAUUCUCUUAAUUGCACCUCUCAAUUUAUGAUUAUUUUUGUAUGUGCCAUCCAAAACUCAAUUUUGACCUCUUCUUCCUUUUUUGAACGUAUUUUAAGAGAAACAGAUAAAUAGGACUAUUUAUAGUUCAUUGCGUAACAACAAAAGUGAGCAAAUUUAUUUUCAUUUUUUCUCUAUCAAGUGUGUUUGUGUAUUCAAAUUUAGUUUUCAUUCUUGCCGUGUCUAGUGUGUGUGACUGUGCAAGUGUAUUUGCCCUUGAAAGCUUCCAUGUCUGUGUUGAAAGGGAACGCUCGAAUCCUUCAAUUAUGUUUAAUAUUAUUGUUUAAACUUUGAGCAGACCACAUGGUAAAAAUUUAAUUAUUUUUUAGGAUUCAAUAUUUAUAUGAGUAAUCAGUUCAACCAAUUUAAGAGGUACUACAACAUCAUUGACAUUGAUUGUUGUGCUUAUAUGGUCCUUUUUCAUCUCAAUACACUGCCUGUAUUAAGCCAGCUUGGUUAGUACCAAAUUUAAAAAUGGUUUUGACUAAUGCCUUGGGGUGGUUGAAUGAAAGAGUCACUGGUUACUUAUAUUUCUUGUUUAUUUUUUUCCAGUGCUUCGGUUCAUAUUUUAUGGUUGAAAAGAAUGGACUCCAGUAGGAUUAUAAAUAUUUUUGUUUGGUUUUUAUUGCACAUGGUUGGGAGCAUUGCGUUUGCAGAUUUCAUAAUUUGAAAAUUCUGUGACAGGAUUGCACCAUGGAAUAUGGAUCUAGGUCUGUGAUGUGUUUCCAGCGCCCCUUCAUGAAUUUGUUGUGAUUAAAUGCAAGGUUGUUCUUCUUGUUGUUGUCCUCUGUUUGGAAAAACAAAAGAAGGGUAAAAGAGCAAAAACCGUGUCCAAAUUCAACAGCCAGUCCACGUUUUGAAGAGAGAAUUAUUUCAAGAUUUAGCUCCAUUGUUGUGGAAUUCUUUUCAUACUAUUGCUGCACUGUUACAGAAUAAAGAGCCACAUUAUGACAAUAUGAUGAUGCAAAUGUUGAGUUAUAUCACCUCGCAAUCAGCCCAAUCUAGUAGUGAUCACUAAGCAUUAUUCUCAGUUUUGACUUCUCUUCUGAGAUUGAGAGUGAGAGAGUUCUGACUUAUUUGCUGAGAAAAACUGGGUCCAUUAUUGGCUUUGAAGUGAAGCUGUGGAGGUUUUGGAGUACUGGUUAAGGUUGAAGUUGAGGAUAUGGGACUAGGAAAGCGUGGAACUAUAGAAGGUGGGAUGAGAUAAUGAGAUGGAUUUGGUAUUGGUUCCCCUUCCGCUCUCUUGAUAUAGUCUUAUCCAUGUUGGAUGAGAGCUAAUGAUGACUUUGUGAUUUGUAUGGUAUUGUAUAUUUGUAUAUCUCCCUCUUUGUUUCUCUUUUCAUCUUCUUCUAGUCUUCUUGGUUUGACUGCAGUGAUUGCAAUCAAAACUAGAUAUAUGAACUCUGUUGUGACAUCUUUAUAGAUUGGUGUGAAAAUUAGUCAUA
This is a long non-coding RNA of Quercus lobata, 2842 nucleotides long. RefSeq lists it as uncharacterized. The record is from RefSeq and is a predicted model, not a curated record. The transcript has 5 exons. Lineage: Eukaryota; Viridiplantae; Streptophyta; Magnoliopsida; Fagales; Fagaceae.